RNAcentral lists this non-coding RNA (22 nucleotides) under Rattus norvegicus (Norway rat). The record is from RNAcentral. Lineage: Eukaryota; Metazoa; Chordata; Mammalia; Rodentia; Muridae.
UAGGAGUGGGACAAGGACUCCA